Molecule: small RNA, 27 nt
Filed under: Bombyx mori (domestic silkworm)
Lineage: Eukaryota; Metazoa; Arthropoda; Insecta; Lepidoptera; Bombycidae
Description: ovarian small RNA-23654
Source: RNAcentral
UAUCGAUGAGUCGUUGGAAGGUAGCUG